RNAcentral lists this ribosomal RNA (712 nucleotides) under Streptomyces sp. BPSEAC14. RNAcentral's name for it is "bacterial SSU rRNA". It matches the Rfam family "Bacterial small subunit ribosomal RNA", at positions 67 to 795 of the family's 1533-position model. The record is from RNAcentral. Lineage: Bacteria; Bacillati; Actinomycetota; Actinomycetes; Kitasatosporales; Streptomycetaceae.
CGAUGAAGCCCUUCGGGGUGGAUUAGUGGCGAACGGGUGAGUAACACGUGGGCAAUCUGCCCUUCACUCUGGGACAAGCCCUGGAAACGGGGUCUAAUACCGGAUAAUACCUGCCUGGGCAUCUGGGUGGGUUGAAAGCUCCGGCGGUGAAGGAUGAGCCCGCGGCCUAUCAGCUUGUUGGUGAGGUAGUGGCUCACCAAGGCGACGACGGGUAGCCGGCCUGAGAGGGCGACCGGCCACACUGGGACUGAGACACGGCCCAGACUCCUACGGGAGGCAGCAGUGGGGAAUAUUGCACAAUGGGCGAAAGCCUGAUGCAGCGACGCCGCGUGAGGGAUGACGGCCUUCGGGUUGUAAACCUCUUUCAGCAGGGAAGAAGCGAGAGUGACGGUACCUGCAGAAGAAGCGCCGGCUAACUACGUGCCAGCAGCCGCGGUAAUACGUAGGGCGCAAGCGUUGUCCGGAAUUAUUGGGCGUAAAGAGCUCGUAGGCGGCUUGUCACGUCGGGUGUGAAAGACCGGGGCUUAACCCCGGUUCUGCAUUCGAUACGGGCUAGCUAGAGUGUGGUAGGGGAGAUCGGAAUUCCUGGUGUAGCGGUGAAAUGCGCAGAUAUCAGGAGGAACACCGGUGGCGAAGGCGGAUCUCUGGGCCAUUACUGACGCUGAUGAGCGAAAGCGUGGGGGAGCGAACAGGAUUAGAUACCCUGGUAGUC